Molecule: long non-coding RNA, 1824 nt
Filed under: Zostera marina
Lineage: Eukaryota; Viridiplantae; Streptophyta; Magnoliopsida; Alismatales; Zosteraceae
Description: long non-coding RNA (ZMAR_LNC006057)
Source: RNAcentral
CACCAUUGACUUAAUAUGUAUCUAUUUUCCUCUGAUCUACUCCCUUCUGGAUGAGUCUGCUCAUAAAAUCCAUUACCAAAUUAAAGAAUAUAGGGGAAAUUGGGUCUCCUUGUCUUAGUCCUCUGUUGUUUUUAAAAGGCCUAGUGGGGGUACCCUCCACAACGACAGAGAAUGAAGCAGAUUUUAUGUAGUUGGAUAUAAAGGUUAUUUAAUACUGAGAGAUGCCCAUUACUCCGAGAGUUUCCAAGAUUGCAUCCCAGCUAAUAGUGUCAAACGCCUUCCUCAAGUUCACACUUAGCAUGCACCUUUUCGAGGUUUUUGCCCUACCAAAACCAUGUAGCAUUUCCUCAGCCAAGAGAGUGUUAUCAGAAAUGACCAUACUAUUCAUAAAUGUUGUUUGGUUGGGUGAGACCAGCAUAUUAGCCACCUCAUUCAUCCUAUUGGCUAGAAUCUUAGAAAGGAUCUUAUAAAUGAGGUUCACACAAGAGAUGGGCCUAAAAUCAGUCAGCUCAGAGGCAGUUGGCUUCUUGGGCACUAAAGUGAUCCAAGUGUGAUUACUGAUUAGAAGCUUGCAAAAGGGGUUUCCCUUGGGAAAAAUCCUUCACACAAGCUUGAAUUGUAGAUUUUAGCUUAGGCCAGAAUUUCUGAAAGAAGGAGGAAGUAAAGCCAUCAGAGCCAGGGGCUUUACCUGGACAGAGGUAGAACAACACCUCUCUAACCUCCUUCCCCAGAGGAAUAUGUGAUAGCCAUGCAUUCAUUUCCUGUGAUACCAUUGGUAGGAGUGGGGGGAUACUACUAAGGUUCUUUGUUGCGCCUCAAAGAUUUUGGAGUGGGGCUAGUGGCUAGUUGGUUAUAAGUGUGGCUGGUUGGCUUGGAAAAAUCGGGCUAAUGGGUUGUUGGAUUGUUAGUGAUGUCACCGCUAGAGAUGGUGAUGGGGAUCUGAAAAAGUCCAGAUCUAUAUGCUGGAGAAGACUGAGGGAACUGAAUCCGAUAAACUGGAAUCCACCAGUAAAGGGAAGAAGAUCAGACCUAGGUCUAAGAACUGUAGGGAGAAGGUAAAGAGACAAGUAGAAAAUAAAGAGAGAAGAAAUAAUACCCGAUGGUGAUUCUUUAAAAAAAACAAAAUCCCCUUAUCUACCCUCCACUAUUCCUUUUUAUAUGCUUGACUCCACACUAGUGGUCAAUAUGGAAUCAAGUUUAAAAAAAGGAUAUUAAUGGAGGGCUGUCAUGUUCUCUGAAAUACAGAGAACAUUAGCCACUGCAUCAGUUAGGAUAGUAGGUGGGUCAAUGGGGUAAUGGGUUAGUGGGUAAGUUGGUUAUAAGUGUGGCUGGUUUGCUUGGAAAAAUCAGGCUAAUGGGUUGUUGGAUUGGUAAGAUAGUAUGUGGGCUAAUGUGUAAGUGGGUUGACGGGUUAGAGGGUAGGUGGACUGGCAGGUAGGUGGGUAGGUGGGCUGAUGUAAUAGUGAAUUGCUAGAUAAGUGGGUAGGCUUGAUAGUGGGCUAAUGGAUAGGCGUGACAGUGGGUUGUUGGUAAAUGGGUUAAUGGGAAGGUAGUUAGGCUGUCUAGUGUGGAGAAGGGUUGAAGAAUAGAUAAAUUGAGUAUAGCUUCAAAAGAGAUGAUCAACUAUAUUAAAUGAGAGAUGUGAAUUUACCAUACCUUGGUUGGAAACACUAUCCGGGCUCGUGAGUUGUAGCCCAUCUCUCCAGUAGCCCAACGAGCUAGAGGCUUUAUCGAGAAAUGGGGAAUUCAUGGCUGAUGUGGCAGUUGAGGGUCCCAGUGGCUUGGGAUCUGAUUUAGUUGCGCGGCAUGAGGGGGAGGUGGCAC